RNAcentral lists this ribosomal RNA (423 nucleotides) under uncultured eukaryote. RNAcentral describes it as "SSU rRNA". It matches the Rfam family "Eukaryotic small subunit ribosomal RNA", at positions 592 to 1018 of the family's 1831-position model. The record is from RNAcentral.
CAAGAGCGUAUAUUAAAGUUGUUGCAGUUAAAAAGCUCGUAGUUGGAUUUCUGGUACAACGCGCCUGGCCCGCUUUUGUGAGUGCCGGUGCGCGUUUGCCAUCCUUCUAGAAAACGUUUCUACCCGGGUAACUGGGCCGGACUCGCGAUCUAGAUCUUUUACUUUGAGGAAAUUAGAGUGUUUCAAGCAGGCAUACGCCUUGAAUACAUUAGCAUGGAAUAAUAAGAUAGGACCUCGGUUCUAUUUUGUUGGUUUCUAGUACUGAAGUAAUGAUUGAUAGGGAUAGUUGGGGGUGCUAGUAUUGACCGGCCAGAGGUGAAAUUCUUGGAUUCGGUCAAGACUAACUUAUGCGAAAGCAUUCACCAAGGAUGUCUUCUUUAAUCAAGAACGAAAGUUGGGGGAUCGAAGACGAUCAGAUACCAU